UGGGGAAUCUUGCACAAUGGGGGCAACCCUGAUGCAGCGACGCCGCGUGAGCGAUGAAGCCCUUCGGGGCGUAAAGCUCUUUCGACCGGAACGAUAAUGACGGUACCGGGAGAAGAAGCUGCGGCUAACUACGUGCCAGCAGCCGCGGUAAUACGUAGGCAGCAAGCGUUGUUCGGAGUUACUGGGCGUAAAGAGUGCGUAGGCGGUUUUCUAAGUUCGGUGUGAAAUCUCCCGGCUUAACUGGGAGGGUGCGACGGAGACUGGGAAGCUGGAGUGUGGGAAAGGCAGGCGGAAUUCCUGGUGUAGCGGUGAAAUGCGUAGAUAUCAGGAGGAACACCGGCGGUGUAGACGGCUUGCUAGACCAUAACUGACGCUGAGGCACGAAAGCGUGGGUAGCAAACA
Molecule: ribosomal RNA, 402 nt
Filed under: uncultured bacterium
Lineage: Bacteria
Description: bacterial SSU rRNA
Rfam family: Bacterial small subunit ribosomal RNA
Source: RNAcentral